UGCCAGCAGCCGCGGUAAUACGAAGGUGGCGAGCGUUGUUCGGAUUUACUGGGCGUAAAGAGCACGUAGGCGGUUAGGUAAGCCUCUUGGGAAAUCUCCCGGCUCAACCGGGAAAGUUCGAGGGGAACUACUUAGCUAGAGGACGGGAGAGGAGCGCGGAAUUCCCGGUGUAGCGGUGAAAUGCGUAGAUAUCGGGAAGAAGGUCGGUGGCGAAGGCGGCGCUCUGGACCGAUACUGACGCUGAGACGCGAAAGCGUGGGGAGCAAACAGGAUUAGAUA
RNAcentral lists this ribosomal RNA (279 nucleotides) under uncultured bacterium. Its description in RNAcentral is "partial 16S ribosomal RNA". It matches the Rfam family "Bacterial small subunit ribosomal RNA", at positions 506 to 784 of the family's 1533-position model. The record is from RNAcentral.